RNAcentral lists this unclassified non-coding RNA (236 nucleotides) under uncultured fungus. Its description in RNAcentral is "sequence contains ITS1". Lineage: Eukaryota; Fungi. The record is from RNAcentral.
GUUUUAUAGAUUUUUUACGUCUAUGUUACAUUAUUUUAUACUGAAUUCUUUUGGUAAAUAAUAAUAGGGUAACAAGCCUAAGCUUGAUCAUGACUCGGUUAACAUUCUAUAGACUUACCCAUAUAGCCUAUAGCCAUUCCUCAAGCGUCAUGCAAUAAUACAGUUCACAGUAAAAGAGAAUAUACCGAAGUACAUCAAAUUACUUAAUGAUCCUUCCGCAGGUUCACCUACGGAAA